This 253-nucleotide ribosomal RNA is filed under the name uncultured bacterium. Its description in RNAcentral is "partial 16S ribosomal RNA". It matches the Rfam family "Bacterial small subunit ribosomal RNA", at positions 524 to 776 of the family's 1533-position model. The record is from RNAcentral.
GACGAACCACACAAACGUUAUUCGGAAUUACUGGGCUUAAAGGGUGCGUAGGCUGUGCGGAAAGUUGGGUGUGAAAUCCCCCGGCUCAACCGGGGAAUUGCGCCCAAAACUACCGUGCUUGAGGAAGACAGAGGUGAGCGGAACUUCGGGUGGAGCGGUGAAAUGCGUUGAUAUCCGAAGGAAAACCGGUGGCGAAAGCGGCUCACUGGGUCUUUUCUGACGCUGAUGCACGAAAGCUAGGGGAGCAAACGGG